UAAUUGCAUGGCAUAUAAACAUGCUUCCUCUUCUUCCUCUGGAGUAAGGUUGAGGUUGUUUUGGGUUGAACCCAUUUUAUUUGUUAAUGAAAGUGUGAAAAUAAGUUUUAUCAAGAAGAAGAAGAAGAUGAUCCAACCAAAAAAAAGAAGAAGAUGAUCAAAGAAGAAGAAGAAAGGAAAAAGUAACAGGAGAAGAAAAUGAAGAUGGAGUAUUAUGAUGGAAUAGGGGAUCCGAAGAACAUAUAACGUGGUUAAUGUGCUCACCAACUAAGGAACAGAGAGAUGAAGACUACCUGCAGUCCUGCACACAUGUCCCCACCAGGACCAUCAGGGAUAGACCCUGCCAGAAUUUUGAUAGCAUAGAUAGAACCAAUAAAUAGAUGAUGAUAAUGAUAUUUCUUGCAGCAUUUUGCUUUAAUUUUCAUUAGUUAUAAUCCGGACAACAACCGAACUGUAACUGUAAUCUCGUCCCUAUGCAGGUCAUCAUCUUUGAGACUUAGAUAGUACAGUAGUAUUAUAUUUGGCCUUUUCUUUUCUACCCAAACUUGGAAAUGGGUUAUAUAACUUAUAUUUGGAUUAAAUUAUUUCGAAACUGGGACUGGGUAGGGGUGUACGCUUGGUUGUGGUCGGAAAAUUGGGAGGUUUUCUGCACUUUUCGUGUUUUUCUUCUGAUUUCAAUAUAUAAACUUAUAAUUAAAAAAAAAACAUACAUUACAAAUUAAACACACGACAAAUCAUACAAGGAAGCUAAGACGGAACUAUUACACAAGAUAGUUUUACUCAUAGGUAAAAAAAUCGUAAAUAUCGGGCGGAUAUUCAUAGAACUUUUAUAUGUUUCUAAUUCAAGAACUAAACACAAACAACCUCAUUACAACUCAACCCAUAGUUUUAUUUUAAUAAUCAAAAUAAAAGACAUGCUAACCCCAGAAUGAUAGACGCCCCAUGUCAAACCGAUGAGCUUCGAGUCGCAUACGUGUGGGGACGAACUCAGUACAGUAAUAUUCCCAUGACAUUGUUUGCUCGUACGACCUGAAUUGGUCAAUAUGCAUAUCAUAUGCAUCUUGAUCCAUACAAUACGGAGCAAAUGAUUCAAAGAUAGAAAAUCUCGAGUAUUGUUGAACCGACAUUAAUGUAUCGGCUGACUGCACGUCCGACCCACUUGUCAUUGGGGCCAACCAACUCCCUAUAUUAGGAAACCAAGAACCCCUGGAAUCUGGUUGGGUUUGGUAGGAUGGUACACUGGAAUCAUCACUUUGGGAGGUUUUCAUGUUACCAUAAGAAAAAUGAGGGUAAACAUAGGUAGGUUGGAUGUUGCUUUGAGAAUAAGGGAGGUUCCACGAACCUUGGGAAGAAAACUGGUCAGGAAUGUUCCAUGAACCUUGGAAAGAUACCCUAGAUGAUUCUGUUUCCGUUUUAGGAUGCGGUCUUUUCUGUCGAGGUCGUUUUCCUUCUCUUGGUUGUUGUCAUGCAUCAUGGUCUUCAUCUUGGGUGGCAAAAAGAAAUUGAGACUCCCCCGUAAAAUGAAUGAAAACUUUAUAAAAGUGAGAGAGAACUUCACUUUGGCAUGGGCGUACUUUUUUUUUUUCGUUUCUUUCUGAUAUAUUGUUCUACAAUGAUGAUAGUUAUAGAAAAUACAGAACUCAUUUAAUAAUCUUAUGACACAUGCAUUCCUUCCUACAUUCUGACUUGCAAUAACCUUAGAAGCAUUAAUUGUUACUUUCAAUUGAGCGGGAAAAUGAUCAAUGAAAUUUAACUUUCUUUAUAUUAUAUCAAUUGAGAGGGCCAUGAAGUUCGUCGCAAAAGUUUCCAAACAUCUAGUGCCUUUUGGACCUUUUUUUGAUAAUCUCAUCGAAAAAAUUCUAGUUCGGGGGGGAAUUAAAAAUAAAUGUGUUAAUUUCAAAUCGAAAAUGUUGUAAAUUUCGUAAAUUUCGGGUUUUGCCGAAUAUUUCGUGAAUAUCCGAUAAAUUCCGAACGGCAUGGGGUGUUUUAAAUUUCGUUUAUAUGUCGUAUGCCGUACCGAUCCGAAUAGCCAAAAAACAGAAUAUUUCGUGAAUAUCCGGGCGGCAAAUUCGAUUUUUUCACCUAUGGUCUGGAUUACUCUCCAACCCCCCAAACGCCUGAAGAUACCCUACCCAAAGUAGGGGUAUUUGGAUAAUUUCGUAUUAUUGGGCCAAACUACUGAAUAGGUUAUUGGGCUAUUAUUGAUGGGCCGAUACAAGUUUCACAUAUGGGCUAUGACUGUUCAGUAUAGUCUUCCUCUUGUACAGAGUUAAAAAUGGUGUAGUUCUCUUGUCCAACAGUGUCCAUUCCUCAUAUCAUUUCAAAUAAAAUACAUAGUAAUGAAUUUGCAAGGCCAAACGGGUGAAAUUUACAUGAUAUGGGAUAACUAUGUAGAGUUUUAUUCCCCCAUGGGAAAAGUUGGCAUCCCUUGGUGGCUGGGUGAAAAGAUCAAUAGGAAUUUGCGACAUAAUAUUGCCAUCUGCAAAACAUUUGUGAUGAUAUUUUCAUAUUGUUAUUUAACAUUGUGAAUUGUGAUGACAUUUUGUGGCUCACGAGAUUAGAGUAUUGUGAAUUUAUGGUUUAUGAGAUAUGUACAAACAAGAAUCUCUUUUUUUCAUAUAGAAAAUAUACAAUUAGCAUUGUACAAUCAUGCUUUGAUCUAUUGAUAAAAGGUUUUUAAAUUUUGGAACGUCUAAAUAAUGUCUAUUUAGAAAAUGGGACGUUUUUAAUUGGUAUGUAUGAGUAGAGCAUAAAUGAAACAUAGAUUGAUUCUGUACUUCCUUAAGUGAUCAAUAGCAGAAAUGCAUACAUAACAAUAAAUAAAACCAGACAAGAACAUACUCAUAGCACAAAAUCUAUUUAUUAUGUUAUCUAUUUAUAGAAUUCCAUGAUCCAACUGUUGAAAGCAGAACACACGACUUUGAAUCCGGCAAAUCCACUUUCAACUGACAAAACUUCAAAUUCUUUCUCAGUUCUCUCUUUUCCUCCUGGAUUAUGAGCCAACAUGAUGUUAUCAAGUUGGAAGACACGAUUUGCUGCCAGAUUAGUCUCAGGAAAUACUGGGAGAAUAUAUUCCACGAUAAUUGCUUUUCCAUUUACAGGUAAUGCUUCAUAACAGUUCUUCAAAAUUUUCACACAAUGCUCGUCGCUCCAAUCAUGCAGAAUCCACUGAAAUCAUACAAGAAUUAAAGAGGUUUAGACAGACUUAUCAUACAACCAUUUUAUAGUUGAGAAACUUGACAUUCUUACCUUCAUGAAAAUAGCAUCUGCUCUUGGAACACUAACAAACAUGUCUCCUCCAAUAUGCUCUACACCUGCAAACAAUGGCCAGAAGCCCAAAAAACUUACAUUAGAUGACAUGUAGGUGAAAGGGAAAAGAUCAAAAGAGCAACCUACACUAUACUAGUUUUAAGAAGAUGGGGUAGAAUUUUUCAUAAUCAAUUAACAUGUGCAUUAAACUUUACCUGGAUAGGCUGGUGCAACAUCAAUAACAUGAGGCAAAUCAAGAUUAAUGCCCUUGAUUGUUGGGUGCUUGGUCACGAUCUUGUUUAUUGUAGCACCAGUUCCACCACCAACAUCAACUAUACAUUUUAGUCCCUCAAACCCUUUGUACAGUUGGAGAAGCUUCUUCAUGAUUAUAGUGGAGUGAUCUGACAUUCCCCUGUUAAACACCUUGUUGAAUCUAGAAUCUGUACCAUGAUACUCAAAUGCAGUCAUUCCAUAUGCCUUAUUAAAUGGAAUUCCACCAUCAAGUACUGCAUCCUUCAAGUGGUACCUAUAAUGUUGAAAUAUACAUAGAUCAGUUUGAAGUUUUGAACUUAAUGAUGAUUAAAAGACAACAUUCAUUGUGUGUUUGGAAAAACAGUUAUAGUAACCUAGAACGGUAAGUAUAUUCUUUACGGUACGGGGAUUGGACCUUUUAGAAUGAGGGCACUGGGCAUUUAGAUAGGUAGAUUUCUUGUUGUUGUAAAAUAUAAACAUUUACUGAUCCCUGUUUUUAUCACUUUGUGUGUCGGCACUGGGCACCUAUUAGAAUGAGGGAAUGACAAUAAGAUGUCUCACUCACCAUAUCUUGCUUUGUGUAUACCACUAGAAAUGGAGUGAUCAUUAGUUCGUCAACUCGGUCAAAUGGUUAAUGAAUAGAGCUGCUUAGCAACUAAAAUCCUUCUUAAUUAGAUGUGAACAAAAUCCCAAAUAUUAAAAUUUGACUUAUGUUUUUCAAUUAGGGUCAGACCUAUAUGUAUAUAGUUAUAUAUAUUGUCACUUUGUCAGUGACAGUGAGGAUCAUAUAUAUAGGCAAUAUAUAUAUAUAUAUAAACCUCUAAAUCAAAUACAAGCAAACAUUAUGUAAAGGAAAGAUAAUUAAGGGUGCUUAAUUACCAGCUCUCCAUAAGGACUUUAUCUUGGUUCAUGAGCACCAAAGGAGCCAUGGAUACACCAUCUUCAUUCUUGACCAAGAACUUGCAAACAGGUGCCAGCCCAUACAAUCUUUCAACCUCACCAUCCUCCAAAUUGGGCAUAUUGCAAGUUAAUAUCUUAUAACUAGCAAGUAAGCGUAGGAUACGAUCUAGAAUAAUAGGAGCCUGUGUGUUGUUGGUGGACAGUUGAGAUGCAAUUUCAGUAGUGGUAAUGUAUGCGCCUUGACCAGCUUUGGCAAUUAUUUCUAAGACAUCUAGCUCAAUAGCUGCUUUUAAGACCAUUGGUAGAACUGAUGCACUGGCUAAUUGCAUGGCAUAUAAACAUGCUUCCUCUUCUUCCUCUGGAGUAAGGUUGAGGUUGUUUUGGGUUGAACCCAUUUUAUUUGUUAAUGAAAGUGUGAAAAUAAGUUUUAUCAAGAAGAAGAAGAAGAUGAUCCAACCAAAAAAAAGAAGAAGAUGAUCAAAGAAGAAGAAGAAAGGAAAAAGUAACAGGAGAAGAAAAUGAAGAUGGAGUAUUAUGAUGGAAUAGGGGAUCCGAAGAACAUAUAACGUGGUUAAUGUGCUCACCAACUAAGGAACAGAGAGAUGAAGACUACCUGCAGUCCUGCACACAUGUCCCCACCAGGACCAUCAGGG
RNAcentral lists this long non-coding RNA (5054 nucleotides) under Aquilegia coerulea. RNAcentral describes it as "long non-coding RNA (ACOE_LNC001450)". The record is from RNAcentral. Lineage: Eukaryota; Viridiplantae; Streptophyta; Magnoliopsida; Ranunculales; Ranunculaceae.